RNA transcript from Panicum hallii, 2372 nucleotides. It is a transcript of the gene named DNA topoisomerase 6 subunit A3, with no coding region annotated. The record is from RefSeq and is a predicted model, not a curated record. The transcript is spliced from 2 exons. Lineage: Eukaryota; Viridiplantae; Streptophyta; Magnoliopsida; Poales; Poaceae.
UUAGUGUCCCACACUCGCACCAUAUUAUAGGUCAGGUUGUAAGUAGCUCUGAAUCUUCACCGAUCCCUGUUAGUGUGUGCAUGGACAAACCUUUUUUGUGCUGCGAAACCCGAGCAACGUAUAUAUGCAUGGUUUAUAAUUGUUGUAUAUCUAUAUCUACUACACGAACCUGUAGCAUCUGGUAUGUUCGUUCUGUUUUCCCUUCAUUGCUGUCGCUCUAAGUUUUUACAUUCAAGUGGACACUGUAUCAACUUGUAUCUAGACCUGCACUUCUCGGUGCUCGACCAAGUAUUCAUCUGCCUGUCCGGCUUAUGAGCUUCUUUUUUUUUUUUGACAAGGACCGGUUUAUGAGCUUGUCCGCCAAAUCCCCGAUUGCUUGAUGGAUUUGACGCUGCAUCGCGGAGAUCGGACAGCGCGCUUUCGAGCAGGCAAAGUGCGCGGCCGAAUGGGGUAAACCGGAAAAAGGCCCUUAAAGCCCAGAAGCCCCUCGGCCCACUAGCUCAGCCAAGACGUCGCCUGGCCGAGAGCCCUCUCCCCCGCUCCCUCCCUUCUCCAGUUCUCCCCCACCCAAACUAACCAAAUCGCAGCCGCGCUCGAGCUCAAGCCCCGCCGCCGUCUCCGGCGUGCCCUCCCAAAACCCUGCAUUCUCCUCCGCCGCCUUCCGAUCUCUCGGCCCGGAUCCAUGUCGGAGAAAAAGCGCCGCGCGGGGGCAGCCGCGGCCGGCGCCGCAUCUAGCUCGAAGAAGCCGCGCGCCGCCGCGUCCUACGCCGAGUCCCUCCGCUCGAAGCUCCGCCCCGACGCCUCCAUCCUCGCCACCCUCCGCUCCCUCGCCUCCGCCUCCGCCUCCGCCUCCUCUUCCAAAUCCAAGGCCGCCGCGAAGUCCCUCGCGGACCACGACCCCUCCGCGGACCCCACCUCCUCGUACAUCGUGGUGGCCGACCAGGACUCCUCCUCCGUCACCUCGCGCAUCAACCGCCUCGUCCUUGCCGCCGCGCGCAGCAUCCUCUCCGGCCGGGGCUUCUCCUUCGCGGUGCCCUCCCGUGCCGCCUCCAACCAGGUCUACCUCCCGGACCUCGACCGCAUCGUGCUCGUCCGCCGCGAGUCCGCGCGCCCCUUCGCCAACGUCGCCACCGCGCGCAAGGCCACCGUCACGGCCCGCGUCCUCUCCCUCGUGCACGCCGUCCUCCGCAGGGGCAUCCACGUCACCAAGCGUGACCUCUUCUACACCGAUGUCAAGCUCUUCGGGGACCAGUCCCAGUCCGACGCCGUCCUCGACGACGUCUCCUGCAUGCUCGGAUGCACCCGGUCCUCCCUCCAUGUUGUCGCCUCCGAGAAGGGUGUCGUCGUCGGCCGCCUCGUCUUCGCCGACGACGGGGACCGGAUCGACUGCACGCGCAUGGGCGUCGGCGGGAAGGCCAUCCCGCCCAACAUCGACAGGGUCUCGGGCAUCGAGAGCGACGCGCUCUUCAUCCUGCUGGUGGAGAAGGACGCCGCAUUCAUGCGCCUUGCCGAGGACAGGUUCUACAACCGCUUCCCCUGCAUCAUUCUGACGGCGAAGGGGCAGCCGGAUGUCGCCACCCGGCUGUUCCUGCGGCGGCUCAAGGUGGAGCUGAAGCUGCCGGUGCUCGCACUGGUUGACUCUGAUCCAUACGGGCUCAAGAUCUUGUCAGUGUACAUGUGUGGUUCGAAGAACAUGUCUUAUGACAGUGCCAAUCUGACGACGCCAGACAUCAAGUGGCUUGGUGUCCGGCCAAGCGACUUGGAUAAGUACAGGGUGCCGGAGCAGUGCCGUCUCCCCAUGACCGACCACGAUAUCAAGGUGGGGAAGGAGCUGCUUGAAGAGGACUUUGUGAAGCAGAAUGAGGGCUGGGUGAAGGAGCUGGAGACGAUGCUGCGCACCAGGCAAAAGGCUGAGAUACAGGCCCUCAGCUCCUUCGGGUUUCAGUACCUCACCGAGGUAUAUCUGCCUCUCAAGCUGCAGCAGCAGGACUGGAUUUGAGUACUCUUGAUGCUAGGUACGAGAUCUUGGUCGUCUGUCCGUACUUCUCAGUUUGUCGUGUUAGGUUGCUUUUUUGUUUUUUAACACACACUGAACGCUCGGUAGUCGAAUCAGAUGUGUGAUCUGAUCUGUGAUAUGUUCUUCAGCUUAUUAGUGCACUUCACCAGGUGUUGAAAAUUUCUUCAGCGAAGAUGAUGUCUUCCGCUCAGAAUUUGCAAGGACCUGAUUGACAUGAGUGAAGACCUUACUAACUUGUCAUUACCAGCACCCUUGUAUCACUUGUGUAUUUGAACAUCAACUAUAGUGUUAUUUAUUUCUGCUGGAGAACAAUUCAUGGAACAAUUGCUGCCAGACAUGUACUGAAAGUUCAUUA